UGGUUAUUGAGAUAACGUAAGGGAAAAAAUUGAUAGUACCUUACUAUAAGUGUUGUCCAACUUUACUGGUGCCAGAAGACUCGGUAACGCCAGAAACGCAAACGUUAGUCGUCUUAAUCAGGCGUAAAGGGUAAGUAGGCUGCUUUAAAAAUUAUUAAUUAGAAAGCUCUUUUUUAUUAAAGUAAUUAAUAAUGAAUUAAAGCUAGAAUCAAAUAGAGGAUAAGCCAAAUAAUAUUUAGAGUAAGGCUGAUAUCUCCAAAUACUAAAUAGAAUACUAAAGGUGAAAACUUUUAUCUACUAUUGAUUGACGCUGAGGAACGAAGGUGAGAAUAGAAAACAGGAUUAGAGACCCAGGUAUCUCUCACUGUCAACGAUGAAUGGUGGUUGUUAGUUUAUUUUAAACUAGUAACGAUGUUAACGCGAUAACCAUUCCGCCUUGCGAGUACG
Molecule: ribosomal RNA, 447 nt
Filed under: Cystolepiota cystophora
Lineage: Eukaryota; Fungi; Basidiomycota; Agaricomycetes; Agaricales; Agaricaceae
Description: SSU rRNA
Rfam family: Bacterial small subunit ribosomal RNA
Source: RNAcentral